RNAcentral lists this ribosomal RNA (1331 nucleotides) under Vibrio parahaemolyticus. RNAcentral describes it as "bacterial SSU rRNA". It matches the Rfam family "Bacterial small subunit ribosomal RNA", at positions 108 to 1435 of the family's 1533-position model. Lineage: Bacteria; Pseudomonadati; Pseudomonadota; Gammaproteobacteria; Vibrionales; Vibrionaceae. The record is from RNAcentral.
GAGUAAUGCCUAGGAAAUUGCCCUGAUGUGGGGGAUAACCAUUGGAAACGAUGGCUAAUACCGCAUGAUGCCUACGGGCCAAAGAGGGGGACCUUCGGGCCUCUCGCGUCAGGAUAUGCCUAGGUGGGAUUAGCUAGUUGGUGAGGUAAGGGCUCACCAAGGCGACGAUCCCUAGCUGGUCUGAGAGGAUGAUCAGCCACACUGGAACUGAGACACGGUCCAGACUCCUACGGGAGGCAGCAGUGGGGAAUAUUGCACAAUGGGCGCAAGCCUGAUGCAGCCAUGCCGCGUGUGUGAAGAAGGCCUUCGGGUUGUAAAGCACUUUCAGUCGUGAGGAAGGUAGUGUAGUUAAUAGCUGCAUUAUUUGACGUUAGCGACAGAAGAAGCACCGGCUAACUCCGUGCCAGCAGCCGCGGUAAUACGGAGGGUGCGAGCGUUAAUCGGAAUUACUGGGCGUAAAGCGCAUGCAGGUGGUUUGUUAAGUCAGAUGUGAAAGCCCGGGGCUCAACCUCGGAAUUGCAUUUGAAACUGGCAGACUAGAGUACUGUAGAGGGGGGUAGAAUUUCAGGUGUAGCGGUGAAAUGCGUAGAGAUCUGAAGGAAUACCGGUGGCGAAGGCGGCCCCCUGGACAGAUACUGACACUCAGAUGCGAAAGCGUGGGGAGCAAACAGGAUUAGAUACCCUGGUAGUCCACGCCGUAAACGAUGUCUACUUGGAGGUUGUGGCCUUGAGCCGUGGCUUUCGGAGCUAACGCGUUAAGUAGACCGCCUGGGGAGUACGGUCGCAAGAUUAAAACUCAAAUGAAUUGACGGGGGCCCGCACAAGCGGUGGAGCAUGUGGUUUAAUUCGAUGCAACGCGAAGAACCUUACCUACUCUUGACAUCCAGAGAACUUUCCAGAGAUGGAUUGGUGCCUUCGGGAACUCUGAGACAGGUGCUGCAUGGCUGUCGUCAGCUCGUGUUGUGAAAUGUUGGGUUAAGUCCCGCAACGAGCGCAACCCUUAUCCUUGUUUGCCAGCGAGUAAUGUCGGGAACUCCAGGGAGACUGCCGGUGAUAAACCGGAGGAAGGUGGGGACGACGUCAAGUCAUCAUGGCCCUUACGAGUAGGGCUACACACGUGCUACAAUGGCGCAUACAGAGGGCGGCCAACUUGCGAAAGUGAGCGAAUCCCAAAAAGUGCGUCGUAGUCCGGAUUGGAGUCUGCAACUCGACUCCAUGAAGUCGGAAUCGCUAGUAAUCGUGGAUCAGAAUGCCACGGUGAAUACGUUCCCGGGCCUUGUACACACCGCCCGUCACACCAUGGGAGUGGGCUGCAAAAGAAGUAGGUAGUU